Molecule: ribosomal RNA, 968 nt
Filed under: Nacobbus aberrans
Lineage: Eukaryota; Metazoa; Nematoda; Chromadorea; Rhabditida; Pratylenchidae
Description: SSU rRNA
Rfam family: Eukaryotic small subunit ribosomal RNA
Source: RNAcentral
AAACCGCGAACGGCUCAUUAUAACAGCUAUAAUUUACUUGAUCUUGACAACCUACUUGGAUAACUGUGGUAAUUCUAGAGCUAAUACAUGCACAAAAGCUCCGACCUAAAGGAAAGAGCGCAUUUAUUAGAACAAAACCAAACGGCUUCGGCCGUCCACUGUUGAACCAGAAUAACUAAGCUGACCGCAUGGUCUUGUACCGGCGGCAUGUCUUUCAAGUAUCUGCCUUAUCAACUUUCGAUGGUAGCGUAUCUGCCUACCAUGGUGAUGACGGGUAACGGAGGAUAAGGGUUCGACUCCGGAGAAGGGGCCUGAGAAAUGGCCACUACGUCUAAGGAUGGCAGCAGGCGCGCAAAUUACCCACUCUCAGAAUGAGGAGGUAGUGACGAGAAAUAACGAGACAGUUCUCUUAUGAGGCCUGUCAUCGGAAUGGGUACAAUCUAAACCCUUUAACGAGUAUCUAUGAGAGGGCAAGUCUGGUGCCAGCAGCCGCGGUAAUUCCAGCUCUCAAAAUGCAUAGAAUUAUUGCUGCGGUUAAAAAGCUCGUAGUUGGAUCUGUGCCGGCGUCCCGGUCCGCCCUCACGGGCGUGUACUGGAUUCGCUGGUUUUCCGCUCAACUCCUGCCAGCGUCCUUCACUGGACGUCUGGAAAGGGUGAGCAAGUUUACCUUGAACAAAUCAGAGUGCUCAAAACAGGCGUUUCGCUUGAAUGUUCGUGCAUGGAAUAAUAGAAGAGGAUUUCGGUUCAAUUUUAUUGGUUUUAUUGACUGAGAUAAUGGUUAACAGAGACAAACGGGGGCAUUCGUAUUGCUACGUGAGAGGUGAAAUUCUUGGACCGUAGCAAGACGGACUACAGCGAAAGCAUUUGCCAAGAAUGUCUUCAUUAAUCAAGAACGAAAGUCAGAGGUUCGAAGGCGAUCAGAUACCGCCCUAGUUCUGACCGUAAACGAUGCCAACUAGCGAUCCGCC